UCCGUGUCCAGAAAAGUAAGACCUUCCUUGCAUUUUCAGAGAGUUGUGGCUAUGGCAUUUUUGGCUGCGGAUGUAAAGUUAACGAGAUAACGUGGGGCAAGCAGUCAUAUGCCAAGAAGGGGCUCUGGAUAGGUCUGACUGAAGGGAGGGGCCCAAGGGCUGGAAUCUUGAAAAAGAUUGACGUCACGAGACGUCACUUCCUUGGGGACAAGCGUGUAACAGAUUUAGAACUCUGGUAACCAGGAAGCUGCGUUGAACAAUGUCCCUCUUUCCAGCGCACUUAACUGGAGCCGGUCAGGAGAACAAGACCUUCUGUUGCUGUUGCCCUACUUUCAGUGGCUCUGGGCUUAGGAGAGUCCAGAAAGAGAGAUGUUUAUGCCGCUAUGGACGUCAGUUCGGCCCUCUUUCCAAAGCUUCUGGUUAUGUGUGGGAGUCUUCAACAGAGCUGCACCCAGGAGAUCUUGGAGGAGAUGUUCUGUGGCUUCAACUCUUCUAACUCCCUAGACAAUGAUAGGGUGCUCCAGGCAAACAAGGAGCAGUGCUGUUCUGAGCACACUUAACUGGAGCCGGUCAGGAGAACAAGACCUUCUGUUGCUGUUGCCCUACUUUCAGUGGCUCUGGGCUUAGGAGAGUCCAGAAAGAGAGAUGUUCAUGCCGCUAUGGACGUCAGUUCGGCCCUCUUUCAAAAGCUUCUGGUUAUGUGCAGGAGACUUCAACAGAGAGAGAGAGAGAGAAAGGAAGAGACAUAGGCAGAGGGAGAAGCAGGCUCCAUGCACCG
Canis lupus familiaris (dog) is the source of this 778-nucleotide long non-coding RNA. RefSeq lists it as uncharacterized. The record is from RefSeq and is a predicted model, not a curated record. Lineage: Eukaryota; Metazoa; Chordata; Mammalia; Carnivora; Canidae. The transcript has 4 exons.